Long non-coding RNA from Vespula vulgaris, 339 nucleotides. RefSeq lists it as uncharacterized. The record is from RefSeq and is a predicted model, not a curated record. The transcript has 2 exons. NCBI's taxonomy places the organism in Eukaryota, Metazoa, Arthropoda, Insecta, Hymenoptera, Vespidae.
UGUUGUAUUUUCCGUCCCUGUCUUUGUUCCCGUCGAGUUCACCAACGCCGUCGUUGUUGUAGUCGACGUGUCCCGUAUACUGGGAGGAUCGGCGAGUAUUGCUGCUAAUUGUUCCUAAAGAAAAAUCGCUCGCAGAAUAAAGUUAACGAGUUGAGAUGGGAAAGAUUGCAACAGGGUUUUACCUUUCGAUUCUUUAUUUCAAUGAAAAGAAAAAAGAAAAAAAAAAGACAAAAAGAAAAACUAUAUAUAACGUUAACAAAAACAGCGAUAUUAUCUAUAUAUUAAGUAUAAUAAAUCUCGUUGAAAUAUUAAAAGAAUAAAAAAAAAAAUUAAAACAAA